GCUUACACAUGCAAGUCGAACGGUAACGACCUCAUUACCUUCGGGUAACGAGGGGCGACGAGUGGCGGACGGGUGAGUAACGCAUAGGAAUCUGCCCAGUAGUGGGGGACAACCUGGGGAAACCCAGGCUAAUACCGCAUACGCCCUACGGGGGAAAGCGGGGGAUCUUCGGACCUCGCGCUAUUGGAUGAGCCUAUGUCUGAUUAGCUUGUUGGUAGGGUAACGGCCUACCAAGGCAACGAUCAGUAGCUGGUCUGAGAGGAUGAUCAGCCACACUGCGACUGAGACACGGCGCAGACUCCUACGGGAGGCAGCAGUGGGGAAUAUUGCACAAUGGGCGCAAGCCUGAUGCAGCAAUGCCGCGUGUGUGAAGAAGGCCUGCGGGUUGUAAAGCACUUUCAGUAGCGAAGAAAAGCCUGAGGUUAAUACCCUCGAGUCUUGACGUUAGCUACACAAGAAGCACCGGCUAACUCCGUGCCAGCAGCCGCGGUAAUACGGAGGGUGCGAGCGUUUAUCGGAAUUACUGGGCGUAAAGCGCGCG
This 541-nucleotide ribosomal RNA is filed under the name uncultured bacterium. RNAcentral's name for it is "bacterial SSU rRNA". It matches the Rfam family "Bacterial small subunit ribosomal RNA", at positions 46 to 571 of the family's 1533-position model. The record is from RNAcentral.